GCCAGCAGCCGCGGUAAUACGGAGGGUGCUAGCGUUAUCCGGAAUCAUUGGGUUUAAAGGGUCCGCAGGCGGUCAAUUAAGUCAGAGGUGAAAUCCCAUAGCUUAACUAUGGAACUGCCUUUGAUACUGGUUGACUUGAGUUAUACGGAAGUAGAUAGAAUAAGUAGUGUAGCGGUGAAAUGCAUAGAUAUUACUUAGAAUACCGAUUGCGAAGGCAGUCUACUACGUAUAUACUGACGCUCAUGGACGAAAGCGUGGGGAGCGAACAGGAUUAGAUACCCUGGUAGUCCACGCCGUAAACGAUGGACACUAGUUGUUGGAAUUAUUCAGUGACUAAGCGAAAGUGAUAAGUGUCCCACCUGGGGAGUACGAUCGCAAGAUUGAAACUCAAAGGAAUUGACGGGGGCCCGCACAAGCGGUGGAGCACGUGGUUUAAUUCGAUGAUACGCGAGGAACCUUACCAGGGCUUAAAUGUAAGAUGCAUUAGUUAGAGAUAGCUAUUUCUUCGGACUUCUUACAAGGUGCUGCAUGGUUGUCGUCAGCUCGUGCCGUGAGGUGUCAGGUUAAGUCCUAUAACGAGCGCAACCCUUGUCGUUAGUUGCCAGCAUGUAAAGAUGGGGACUCUAACGAGACUGCCGGUGUAAACCGCGAGGAAGGUGGGGAUGACGUCAAAUCAUCACGGCCCUUACGUCCUGGGCUACACACGUGCUACAAUGGUAUGGACAAUGAGCAGCCACUAUG
This 741-nucleotide ribosomal RNA is filed under the name uncultured Polaribacter sp. RNAcentral's name for it is "SSU rRNA". It matches the Rfam family "Bacterial small subunit ribosomal RNA", at positions 507 to 1257 of the family's 1533-position model. The record is from RNAcentral. Lineage: Bacteria; Pseudomonadati; Bacteroidota; Flavobacteriia; Flavobacteriales; Flavobacteriaceae.